UAGGGAAUCUUCGGCAAUGGGGGGAACCCUGACCGAGCAACGCCGCGUGAGUGAAGAAGGUUUUCGGAUCGUAAAGCUCUGUUGUUAAGGAAGAACGAGUAUGAGAAUGGAAAGUUCAUACUGUGACGGUACUUAACCAGAAAGGGACGGCUAACUACGUGCCAGCAGCCGCGGUAAUACGUAGGUCCCGAGCGUUGUCCGGAUUUAUUGGGCGUAAAGCGAGCGCAGGCGGUCAAUUAAGUCUGAUGUGAAAGCCCCCGGCUCAACCGGGGAGGGUCAUUGGAAACUGGUUGACUUGAGUGCAGAAGAGGAGAGUGGAAUUCCAUGUGUAGCGGUGAAAUGCGUAGAUAUAUGGAGGAACACCAGUGGCGAAGGCGACUCUCUGGUCUGUAACUGACGCUGAGGCUCGAAAGCGUGGGUAGCAAACAGG
Molecule: ribosomal RNA, 430 nt
Filed under: Bacteroidota bacterium
Lineage: Bacteria; Pseudomonadati; Bacteroidota
Description: Bacteroidetes bacterium partial 16S ribosomal RNA
Rfam family: Bacterial small subunit ribosomal RNA
Source: RNAcentral